CUGUAUCGCAUCGCGGUGAGUUUCUAUUUCUUGGUAAUUCGGUUUGUGAAAUGACUAUUAAUUACAAGCACAGCAUCAUCAACGGUGAUUGCAAGAACUACUGCAAUCCAUGCGGUUUUUCCUCUUGGUAAAUGCGUUCUGGUCGUGACCAAGGGUGGUCUCCCAAAUCGGCCGGGAAUAAGGCUAUUGUUGCAGAACGAAACGCCGCAACCACUGCUGUGGUAAAUAUAUUCCAGCAGAGCUGCCCACCGCCGUCGGUGUAAUGAUUUCGAUAGCUGAACAAACGCCAUCUCCUGGGCAUUCCCACAGCUUGCCGACACUAGCUAUUAUAUCACGUGUGAAUGCAACUGCGGCUUAAUUUGGUUAUUAACAGUGCAAUAGUGCCAUGUCAUUGGCAAAAACACUAAGGGCUGCUGGCAAAUAUAGGUUGUAAAGUUUUUGGUAUCGAUGAACUUACUCGAAGAAGACGAUGGCCGAAAACAUAUGAUGAAACAACUUCUGGCAUGCCUUUGACAAUCAUUAAGUCAGACGGAGGCUUCACAUACGAUAUUUCACACAUGGCUGGAAUUCUUA
This is a long non-coding RNA of Rhagoletis zephyria (snowberry fruit fly), 573 nucleotides long. RefSeq lists it as uncharacterized. The record is from RefSeq and is a predicted model, not a curated record. Lineage: Eukaryota; Metazoa; Arthropoda; Insecta; Diptera; Tephritidae.